GUCCGCGGGAAUUCGAUUCAGGCCUAACACAUGCAAGUCGAGCGGUAGAGAGAAGCUUGCUUCUCUUGAGAGCGGCGGACGGGUGAGUAAUGCCUAGGAAUCUGCCUGGUAGUGGGGGAUAACGUUCGGAAACGGACGGUAAUACCGCAUACGUCCUACGGGAGAAAGCAGGGGACCUUCGGGCCUUGCGCUAUCAGAUGAGCAUAGGUCGGAUUAGCUAGUUGGUGAGGUAAUGGCUCACCAAGGCGCCGAUCCGUAACUGGUAUGAGAGGAUGAUCAGUCACACUGGAACUGAGACACGGUCCAGACUCCUCCGGGAGGCAGCAGUGGGGAAUAUUGGACAAUGGGCGAAAGCCUGAUCCACACAAGGCGUGUGUGUGAAGAAGGUCUUCGGA
Molecule: ribosomal RNA, 395 nt
Filed under: uncultured bacterium
Lineage: Bacteria
Description: bacterial SSU rRNA
Rfam family: Bacterial small subunit ribosomal RNA
Source: RNAcentral